GUUUCGAAUCAUUCACAAUGGGCGAAAGCCUGAUGGUGCGACGCCGCGUGAGGGAUGAAGGUCUUCGGAUUGUAAACCUCUGUCACUGGGGAGAAAACGCUUCAGGUAAACAGCCUGAAGCCUGAUUUAACCCGGAGAGGAAGCAGUGGCUAACUCUGUGCCAGCAGCCGCGGUAAUACAGAGACUGCAAGCGUUAUUCGGAUUCACUGGGCGUAAAGGGUGCGCAGGCGGCCGUGUGUGUCAGAUGUGAAAUCCCGGGGCUCAACCCCGGAACUGCGUCUGAAACUACAUGGCUAGAGUAUUGGAGAGGGUAGCGGAAUUCACGGUGUAGCAGUGAAAUGCGUAGAUAUCGUGAGGAACACCAGAGGCGAAGGCGGCUACCUGGACAAUUACUGACGCUCAGGCACGAAAGCGUGGGGAGCAAAAGGGAUUAGAAACCCUGGUAGUCC
RNAcentral lists this ribosomal RNA (449 nucleotides) under uncultured bacterium. Its description in RNAcentral is "bacterial SSU rRNA". It matches the Rfam family "Bacterial small subunit ribosomal RNA", at positions 354 to 796 of the family's 1533-position model. The record is from RNAcentral.